Molecule: transfer RNA, 73 nt
Filed under: bacterium
Lineage: Bacteria
Description: tRNA-Ala
Rfam family: tRNA
About the family: Transfer RNA (tRNA) molecules are approximately 80 nucleotides in length. Their secondary structure includes four short double-helical elements and three loops (D, anti-codon, and T loops).
Source: RNAcentral
GGGCCCAUAGCUCAGUUGGUAGAGCGCCGCUAUGGCAUGGCGGAGGUCGAGGGUUCAAGUCCCUCUGGGUCCA